CGGUUUAAUUGGAUUCAACGCCGGAAAGUCUUACCGGGACCGACAGCAAUAUGAAGGCCAGGCUGAAGACUUUGCCGGAUUAGCUGAGAGGUGGUGCAUGGCCGUCGUCAGUUCGUACUGUGAAGCAUCCUGUUAAGUCAGGCAACGAGCGAGACCCACGCCCACAGUUGCCAGCGUACUCUCCGGAGUGACGGGUACACUGUGGGACCGCCGCUGCUAAAGCGGAGGAAGGAAUGGGCAACGGUAGGUCAGUAUGCCCCGAAUAUCCCGGGCUACACGCGAGCUACAAUGGUUGGUACAAUGGGUAUCUACCCCGAAAGGGGACGGGAAUCUCCUAAAACCAAUCUUAGUUCGGAUUGAGGGCUGCAACUCGCCCUCAUGAAGCUGGAAUCCGUAGUAAUCGCGUUUCAACAGAACGCGGUGAAUACGUCCCUGCUCCUU
This 441-nucleotide ribosomal RNA is filed under the name uncultured Methanosaeta sp. RNAcentral describes it as "bacterial SSU rRNA". It matches the Rfam family "Archaeal small subunit ribosomal RNA", at positions 898 to 1338 of the family's 1478-position model. Lineage: Archaea; Methanobacteriati; Methanobacteriota; Methanomicrobia; Methanotrichales; Methanotrichaceae. The record is from RNAcentral.